AUUAUGUAACAUAGAGAUUGCGUGGUAUAAUUUCGAAUUAAUUCAGUCACUGGUAAUUCGAAGAAUUUGACUAUUUUUGUUGGCACCACAUUAUUAAAAAAGUAAAAUAAAUUUCGUAAAAUAUGUUGGCACGCAAUUCGACUUCCUGUCAAUGUUUUGUAAUUAUUAACAAUCUGUUUAUUUAUAUGAACUGACAAUUCGAUUGUUAGUUCGGAAAUGUUUAACGUUAUAUAACUAAACGUGGAAUUAAUUUUAUAAUAAUAGUAUCAGAUGUGUGUAAUCGUGACUAUCAUUGUAUGUGUUAAGUUUCUAAUAAUUACAUAUUUAAGGCUUUGUAAUUUUUACUACUGGAGACUUCAGUUUUUAAAAAAGGACAGAGACUAAUAAUUCACAUUCACAUCGAUAGUGAAGACGGUUACCUGCCAGAUGCUUUACAGCUAUAAUUUCAAUUUUGUAUUAAGGUCAAUAACGGACAAGUUGAAAUUGAAGUCUACAUCGCGAAAUUUACGACUCUAAUUUACUAAAGUGUAUUUUUUAUUAUCUUAUCUUUCAUAAGACAAAUGGGAGUUAAUUGUUGUAAGACGAAAAACAAAUUAUAUUAUACAAUAUGAUGAUCAAUCCAAUUCAUCUUUGGUUUUCUGGAGAUGAUCAGUAUGAAAUUACCGACGAAGAAAUAGUCACAAUGAAGGACCUGAUACUGUUGAGCCCCAUAAAGUAGCACGCAAAGAAGGGGUACAAAUUUAUGAAGCAGCCAUUAGAUACGCUGAACAGCAAUAAGAAGUCAGAGAUGGUGAGACUUGGCAGCAAAGAAGCGGAAUACAUCAGGACAGCGAACAAAAAUCUUCUAAAUUAUCUAUACAUACCAUAAAUAAAUAUCAUUAAAUUGAUUCUUAAGGUUAUUUCAGUACUUUAUAUACCAUGAUUGAGAUUUACAAUACUGUAUGUAAUUUCUAAAUCUAUAGCGUAUA
Long non-coding RNA from Diorhabda sublineata, 968 nucleotides. RefSeq lists it as uncharacterized. The record is from RefSeq and is a predicted model, not a curated record. The transcript is spliced from 3 exons. NCBI's taxonomy places the organism in Eukaryota, Metazoa, Arthropoda, Insecta, Coleoptera, Chrysomelidae.